GGGUGAGGAAUGCAUGGGUAAUCUACCAUCGAGUGGGGAAUAACCAGCCGAAAGGCUGGCUAAUACCGCGUACGCUUCCGGGUUUUCGGGUCCGGAAGGAAAGCCAUGCCGUGGGUAUGGCGCUCUUUGAUGAGCUCAUGUCCUAUCAGCUUGUUGGUAGGGUAACGGCCUACCAAGGCUUUGACGGGUAGCUGGUCUGAGAGGACGAUCAGCCACACUGGCACUGCGACACGGGCCAGACUCCUACGGGAGGCAGCAGUAAGGAAUAUUGCGCAAUGGGCGACAGCCUGACGCAGCGACGCCGCGUGGGGGAUGAAGGUCUUCGGAUUGUAAACCCCUUUCGGGAGGGAAGAUGGGGCAGGUAACUGCUCGGACGGUACCUCCAGAAGCAGCCACGGCCAACUUCGUGCCAGCAGCCGCGGUAAUACGAAGGUGGCAAGCGUUGUUCGGAUUCACUGGGCGUACAGGGUGUGUAGGCGGUUUGGUAAGCCUUCUGUUAAAUCUUCGGGCCCAACCCGGAAAGCGCAGAGGGGACUGCCAGGCUAGAGGGCGGGAGAGGAGCGCGGAAUUCCCGGUGUAGCGGUGAAAUGCGUAGAGAUCGGGAGGAAGGCCGGUGGCGAAGGCGCGCUCUGGAACGUACCUGACGCUGAGACACGAAAGCGUGGGGAGCAAACAGGAUUAGAUACCCUGGUAGUCCACGCCCUAAACUUUGGAUACUAGUGUCGGCGGUUACCGCCGGGGCCGCAGCUACGCAUUAGUAUCCC
Molecule: ribosomal RNA, 764 nt
Filed under: uncultured bacterium
Lineage: Bacteria
Description: bacterial SSU rRNA
Rfam family: Bacterial small subunit ribosomal RNA
Source: RNAcentral